This 465-nucleotide ribosomal RNA is filed under the name uncultured bacterium. RNAcentral's name for it is "partial 16S ribosomal RNA". It matches the Rfam family "Bacterial small subunit ribosomal RNA", at positions 28 to 507 of the family's 1533-position model. The record is from RNAcentral.
GACGAACGCUGGCGGCGUGCUUAACACAUGCAAGUCGAACGGCAAGGCCCCUUUGGGUUUCCUCUACUGGCGGCCGGUUGCGUAACACGUGAGUAACCUGCCCUUUCUUUCGUUAUAACUUCAGUAACCUGGGGCUACUACCGCAUAUGCAUCCUUGCUCCAUGGUGUGGGUUCGAAGGCUUGGGCGGGUUUGGACGGUCUCGUGGCCUAUUGGCUUGUUGGUGGGUUAGUGGCUUACCAAGGCUUUGACGGGUAGCCGGCCUGAGAGGCCGAGCGGCCACAUUGGGACUGAGAGACGGCCCAGACUCCUACGGGAGGCAGCAGUGGGGAAGAUUGCACAAGGGGCGGAAGCCUGAUGCAGCAAGGCCGCGGGCGGGAUGACGGCCUUCGGGUUGUAAACCGCUUUCAGCAGGGGCGAAGCUUGUGGUGACGGUACCUGCAGAAGAAGCACCGGCUAACUACGUG